Molecule: ribosomal RNA, 482 nt
Filed under: uncultured bacterium
Lineage: Bacteria
Description: partial 16S ribosomal RNA
Rfam family: Bacterial small subunit ribosomal RNA
Source: RNAcentral
GACGAACGCUGGCGGCGUGCUCAACACAUGCAAGUCGAACGAUGAAACCUAGCUUGCUAGGUCGAUUAGUGGCGAACGGGUGAGUAACACGUGACUAACCUGCCCCUUUCUCUGGGAUAACGCUCCGAAAGGAGUGCUAAUACCGGAUACUCACAUCGAGGCACAUGCCUUGGUGUGGAAAGUUUUUCGGAAAGGGAUGGAGUCGCGGCCUAUCAGCUUGUUGGUGAGGUAACGGCUCACCAAGGCGACGACGGGUAGCCGGCCUGAGAGGGCGACCGGCCACACUGUGACUGAGACACGGCCCAGACUCCUACGGGAGGCAGCAGGGGGGAAUAUUGCACAAUGGGCGCAAGCCUGAUGCAGCGACGCCGCGUGAGGGAUGAAGGUCUUCGGAUUGUAAACCUCUUUCAGUAGGGACGAAGCGAAAGUGACGGUACCUAAAGAAGAAGCACCGGCUAACUACGUGCCAGCCGCCGCCGUAA